RNAcentral lists this ribosomal RNA (434 nucleotides) under Enterobacter cloacae complex sp. 2DZ2F20B. RNAcentral describes it as "bacterial SSU rRNA". It matches the Rfam family "Bacterial small subunit ribosomal RNA", at positions 338 to 788 of the family's 1533-position model. Lineage: Bacteria; Pseudomonadati; Pseudomonadota; Gammaproteobacteria; Enterobacterales; Enterobacteriaceae. The record is from RNAcentral.
CCUACGGGUGGCUGCAGUGAGGGAUCUUCGGCAAUGGGGGCAACCCUGACCGAGCAACGCCGCGUGUGGGACGACGGCCUUCGGGUUGUAAACCACUUUUCUUGGGGACGAGACAGGACGGUACCUGAGGAAGAAGUCUCGGCUAACUACGUGCCAGCAGCCGCGGUAAUACGUAGGAGACGAGCGUUGUCCGGAGUUACUGGGCGUAAAGGGUGCGCAGGCGGCCAUGCGCGUCGCGAGUGAAAUCUCCCGGCUCAACUGGGAGGGUGGUCGCGAGACGGCAUGGCUUGAGGCUCGGUGAGGGGCGUGGAAUUCCGGGUGGAGCGGUGAAAUGCGUAGAGAUCCGGAGGAACACCAACGGCGAAGGCAGCGCCCUGGACGAGACCUGACGCUCAGGCACGAAAGCUCGGGGAGCGAACAGGAUUAGAUACCCC